This 460-nucleotide ribosomal RNA is filed under the name uncultured bacterium. RNAcentral's name for it is "partial 16S ribosomal RNA". It matches the Rfam family "Bacterial small subunit ribosomal RNA", at positions 338 to 795 of the family's 1533-position model. The record is from RNAcentral.
CCUACGGGGGGCAGCAGUGAGGAAUAUUUGUCAAUGGACGAGAGUCUGAACCAGCCAAGCAGCGUGAAGGAUGACUGCCCUAUGGGUUGUAAACUUCUUUUAUAUGGGAAUAAAUUGUUCUACGUGUGGGAUUUUGUAUGUAUCAUAUGAAUAAGGAUCGGCUAACUCCGUGCCAGCAGCCGCGGUAAUACGGAGGAUCCAAGCGUUAUCCGGAUUUAUUGGGUUUAAAGGGUGCGUAGGUGGAUUGUGAAGUCAGUGGUGAAAUUUUGCGGCUCAACCGUGACAUUGCCGUUGAUACUGGCAGUCGUGAGUACAGUAGCGGUAGGCGGAAGUCGUGGUGUAGCGGUGAAAUGCUUAGAGAUCACGAAGAACUCCGAUUGCGAAGGCAGCUCACUGGACUGCAACUGACGCUGAGGCUCGAAAGUGUGGGGAUCAAACAGGAUUAGAUACCCUUGUAGUC